Molecule: non-coding RNA, 31 nt
Filed under: Mus musculus (house mouse)
Lineage: Eukaryota; Metazoa; Chordata; Mammalia; Rodentia; Muridae
Source: RNAcentral
UUACAUCAGACCAUUUACCUGGCUCCCAUGU